CUUGCCAGUUUUUGAACGCGUACCCGACGAUGUAUCUUAAAGGCUACAAAUCUGCUCCAUCGCUUAUUUAAUUACAUGAUUAAGAUACCACCCAGCGAUAAUCCGGGAUUGAACGCAGGAGCGACGCUGCUGUGGAAAAAUCUAAGCGGGUAAUGUGUGUCAUAAAUAGUGGCCACCAUCGGUAAAAAUGCAGUACGUCCAUAAAAAAGUCUACCAAAGUCAUAAAUUGAGAUCUAUUGAAAGCGUGCAGAAAAUUAAAUGAAGAAAGUAAUAUUUAUAUUUACAUUCAUGUAUAUGGGGACUAUAAAGAAAUGACGCAUAUAAAAUUCAGAACUUUUUAAUAAGUUGCCAAUAAAAAUCUUAAUUGGUUAUAUAAUAAUGUGUUACAUUACUUAAUGUGGUCGAUAUAUCUAAUAAAUAUUCUAAACAUAACGUUGAUAAUAAAUUUAAUGUGGAAUUUGUUCCUUAUUUUUUUUAAUAUUUUGACCGUUUUUAUACAGAUUUUACUAUUUUAAUUACUAUAUGUAAAAUUACACUUUCACGAGUAUUAAAUAAAAGUUCCUCAAAGGGGUUUGAAUAA
Molecule: long non-coding RNA, 580 nt
Organism: Diabrotica virgifera virgifera (western corn rootworm)
Lineage: Eukaryota; Metazoa; Arthropoda; Insecta; Coleoptera; Chrysomelidae
Exons: 2
Source: RefSeq, a predicted model, not a curated record